Molecule: ribosomal RNA, 2055 nt
Filed under: human gut metagenome
Description: bacterial LSU rRNA
Rfam family: Bacterial large subunit ribosomal RNA
Source: RNAcentral
GAAACCGGGUGAUCUAGCCAUGAGCAGGUUGAAGUUGAGGUGAAACUCAAUGGAGGACCGAACCGACUACCGUUGAAAAGUUAGCGGAUGACUUGUGGCUAGGGGAGAAAUUCCAAUCGAACCCGGAGAUAGCUGGUUCUCCCCGAAAUAGCUUUAGGGCUAGCGUCGGAAAGAACCUUAGUGAAGGUAGAGCACUGAAUGUGUGAUGGCCCCAUCCCGGGGUACUGAAUACAAUCAAACUGCGAAUGUCAUUAAGGAUGUCCGGCAGUCAGACUGUGAGUGAUAAGGUCCAUGGUCAAGAGGGAAACAGCCCAGACCGCCAGUUAAGGUCCCAAAAUACAGGCUAAGUGGAAAAGGAUGUGGGGAUGCCCAGACAACUAGGAGGUUGGCUCAGAAGCAGCCAUCCUUUAAAGAGUGCGUAACAGCUCACUAGUCGAGUGACCCUGCGCCGAAAAUGUACCGGGGCUAAGCCUGAUACCGAAACUGCGGAUUGUAGGAAACUAUAGUGGUAGGGGAGCGUUGUAUACGAGUAGAAGCCGUACCGUGAGGAGCGGUGGAUUGUAUAGAAGUGAGAAUGCCGGUGUGAGUAGCGAGAUGUAGGUGAGAAUCCUACACACCGAAAGCCCAAGGAUUCCAGGGGAAGGUUCGUCCGCCCUGGGUAAGUCGGGACCUAACGCGAGGCCGAAAGGCGUAGUGGAUGGAAAGCAGGCGAAAGAUUCCUGCACCCGUAUAUGGAGCGAAGGAGUGACGGAGACGGAUAGUGUGACCCUCUUAAUGGAUUGAGGGCGAAGCGAAGCGGCUGGUUACCAGGCAAAUCCGGUAACCAUAAGGCUAGAGCGUGAUAGGUAAGCGAAAUCUUAGGAAAGUAGCGAAGCACAUGAUGACGGCUUCCAGGAAAAGCUUCUGGCAAUGCAUAUGCGGCCCGUACCAAAACCGACACAGGUGGGCAGGGAGAGAAUCCCGAGGUGAGCGAGAGAACUGUUGCCAAGGAACUCGGCAAAAUGACUCCGUAAGUUAGCGAGAAGGAGUGCUUAAGCAAUUAAGCCGCAGUGAAGAGGCCCAAGCGACUGUUUAACUAAAACACAGCUCUCUGCGAAGUCGCAAGACGAAGUAUAGGGGGUGACACCUGCCCGGUGCUGGAAGGUUAAGAGGAUCUGUUAAGAGCGAUCUGAAGCAGUGAUCCGAAGCCCCAGUGAACGGCGGCCGUAACUAUAACGGUCCUAAGGUAGCGAAAUUCCUUGUCAGGUAAGUUCUGACCCGCACGAAAGGUGUAACGAUUUGGGCGCUGUCUCGGCAGCAGACUCGGUGAAAUCUUAGUACCUGUGAAAAUGCAGGUUACCCGCAACUAGACGGAAAGACCCCAUGGAGCUUUACUGCAGCCUGAUAUUGAAUUCUGGUCAUACAUGUACAGGAUAGGUGGGAGACAAAGAGACGUGCACGCCAGUGUACGAGGAGUCGACGUUGGGAUACCACUCUUGUGUGACCGGGGUUCUAACCUGGUAUCGAGAACAGGUACGGGGAGAGUGUCAGGUGGGCAGUUUGACUGGGGCGGUCGCCUCCCAAAGAGUAACGGAGGCGCCCAAAGGUACGCUCAGAUUGGAUGGAAACCAAUCGUCGAGUGCAAUUGCAGAAGCGUGCUUGACUGUGAGACUUACAAGUCGAACAGGGACGAAAGUCGGGAAUAGUGAUCCGGCGGUGCCGAAUGGAAGGGCCGUCGCUCAACGGAUAAAAGCUACCCUGGGGAUAACAGGCUGAUCUCGCCCAAGAGUUCACAUCGACGGCGAGGUUUGGCACCUCGAUGUCGGCUCAUCGCAUCCUGGAGCUGGAUUCGGUUCCAAGGGUUGGGCUGUCCGCCCAUUAAAGCGGUACGCGAGCUGGGUUCAGAACGUCGUGAGACAGUUCGGUCCCUAUCUGUUGUGGGCGAAGGAGAUCUGCGGAGAGCUGUCCUCAGUACGAGAGGACCGGGAUGGACCUACCGCUGGUGCACCGGUUGUUCCGCCAGGGGCAUAGCCGGGUAGCUAAGUAGGGAAAGGAUAAGCGCUGAAAGCAUCUAAG